AGCCCGGAGAUGGACACUGAGACAAGGGUCCAGGCCCUAAGGGGCGCAGCAACCGCGAAACCUCCACAAUGCACUCACGUGCGAUGGGGCUAUCUCGAGUGCCACCUGAUGAAGGUGGCUUUUCCUUGGUCUUCAAAGCCUUGGGAAUAAGAGGGGGGCAAGACUGGUGUCAGCCGCCGCGGUAACACCAGCCCCUCGAGUGGUGGGGAUGAUUAUUUGGCCUAAAGCGUCCGUAGCCGGCCGAGCAAGUCUUCCGUUAAAUCCAGCGUCUCAAGCGUUGGACCGCGGGAGAUACUACACGGCUAGAGAGUGGGAGAGGUCAGCGGUAUUCUGGGGGUAGGGGCGAAAUCCUUUGAUCCCCGGAGGACCACCAGUGGCGAAGGCUGCUGACUAGAACACGUCUGACGGUCAGGGACGAAAGCUGGGGUAGCGAACCGGAUUAGAUACCCGGGUAGUCCCAGCCGUAAACGAUGCAUGCUAGGUGUUGGGUUGGCCACGAGCCACCCCAGUGCCGCAGGGAAGCCGUUAAGCAUGCCGCCUGGGAAGUACGAUCGCAAGAUUGAAACUUAAAGGAAUUGGCGGGGGAGCACAAUCG
RNAcentral lists this ribosomal RNA (595 nucleotides) under uncultured crenarchaeote. RNAcentral's name for it is "bacterial SSU rRNA". It matches the Rfam family "Archaeal small subunit ribosomal RNA", at positions 287 to 884 of the family's 1478-position model. Lineage: Archaea; Thermoproteati; Thermoproteota. The record is from RNAcentral.